UACAAAUCAAUCACCAACAACCUCAUGAUGCCCGGUAGGCCACACCGCCAACCACUCCACUCAUCUGUUGUGGGUGUCUAUAUUGGUUUAAGUUAGUAUCCUCUUCGAUGGGGAACAACGUGUCCAUUCCUCCCAACCCUUACAAUCUAAGUAAAGCAACGAUAUCUCUCUCUUACCCUCUUUAUCUUUUCUCUCUCUCUUCAGAGAAAACAGCAGCCAUCUCUCUGUCCUUGCUGCAGUAGUUACCCUCUUUAUUUUCUCUCUUUCACAGAAAACACCAGCCCUCUCUCUCUCUCUCUCUUUUCCCAGCAGUAGUUACCCUCUUUCUCUUCUCUCUCUUCACAUAAAACAACAACCCUCUCUCUCUCUAUUUCCCCCAACCCUGUCUUGCUCUCUCUCCCUCCCUCUUCCAACGCUCAAAGAGGUUGCAGAAAAUAGCAGCCAUAUCUCUCUCUCUCCAUUUUGCCCAACCCACUCUCUCUCCAUUUCGCCCAAAGAGGUUGCAGAGUCUGCUAUCUCCAUUUCGUCCAAAGGGGUUGCAGAGUCAUCUCUAGCGAAUGCUGCUGAAAAAUAGAGUGCAAAAGAGGGCUCUGUUGUGCUGCUGUUUGGAGAGAGAGAGAGAGGGCAAGUUGAAAUUGCAGUUUGAUAGAUAUUGCUCUGCAACCGGUUUGGGUGAGACUCGGCAACUUCUUNNNNNNNNNNNNNNNNNNNNCGAGAGAGAGAGGUGGCGAAGUAGAGAGAGAGAGAGGGGAGCUCUCAUUGGAGUGGCAAGAGAGGGCGAUGCUUUUUGUGGAGAGAGAAAAGAAAAAGAGGGUAAUCGCUAACGGGAGGAGAGAGAGUGGUGGGGGAGAGAGAUAGGCAGAGAAGAGAGAGAGAGGGUCUAUCACGGGAAGAUAAAAAGCAAUGGGUUUCGCUCUCCAUCGUUGCAGUUUAUUUUGGCAAAAUCUCCUUCCUUCUAUACGCGAUGCGGCGUUAUAUAUACAUGAUUGGCUCGCUGCAAUGAAAUACUAAUUAUGUAAAUAUGAUCAUAUAAACAGUAUUAUGUUGAAUGGAU
Molecule: long non-coding RNA, 1054 nt
Filed under: Amborella trichopoda
Lineage: Eukaryota; Viridiplantae; Streptophyta; Magnoliopsida; Amborellales; Amborellaceae
Description: long non-coding RNA (ATRI_LNC003322)
Source: RNAcentral